This 492-nucleotide ribosomal RNA is filed under the name uncultured bacterium. RNAcentral's name for it is "partial 16S ribosomal RNA". It matches the Rfam family "Bacterial small subunit ribosomal RNA", at positions 29 to 507 of the family's 1533-position model. The record is from RNAcentral.
AGUGAACGCUGGCGGUAGGCCUAACACAUGCAAGUCGAACGGCAGCACAGUAAGAGCUUGCUCUUACGGGUGGCGAGUGGCGGACGGGUGAGGAAUACAUCGGAAUCUACUUUUUCGUGGGGGAUAACGUAGGGAAACUUACGCUAAUACCGCAUACGACCUACGGGUGAAAGCAGGGGAUCUUCGGACCUUGCGCGAUUGAAUGAGCCGAUGUCGGAUUAGCUAGUUGGCGGGGUAAGGGCCCACCAAGGCGACGAUCCGUAGCUGGUCUGAGAGGAUGAUCAGCCACACUGGAACUGAGACACGGUUCAGACUCCUACGGGAGGCAGCAGUGGGGAAUAUUGGACAAUGGGCGCAAGCCUGAUCCAGCCAUACCGCGUGGGUGAAGAAGGCCUUCGGGUUGUAAAGCCCUUUUGUUGGGAAAGAAAAGCAGCAGGUUAAUACCCCGCUGUUCUGACGGUACCCAAAGAAUAAGCACCGGCUAACUUCGUG